UCGGGAAUUUUGGGCAAUGGGCGAAAGCCUGACCCAGCAACGCCGCGUGAAGGAUGAAGUAUUUCGGUAUGUAAACUUCGAAAGAAUAGGAAGAAUAAAUGACGGUACUAUUUAUAAGGUCCGGCUAACUACGUGCCAGCAGCCGCGGUAAUACGUAGGGACCAAGCGUUGUUCGGAUUUACUGGGCGUAAAGGGCGCGUAGGCGGCAAUUCAAGUCAUCUGUGAAAUCUCCGGGCUUAACUCGGAACGGUCAGAUGAUACUGCUUUGCUAGAGUGCGGAAGGGGCAAUCGGAAUUCUUGGUGUAGCGGUGAAAUGCGUAGAUAUCAAGAGGAACACCUGAGGUGAAGACGGGUUGCUGGGCCGACACUGACGCUGAAGCGCGAAAGCCAGGGGAGCAAACGG
RNAcentral lists this ribosomal RNA (403 nucleotides) under uncultured bacterium. Its description in RNAcentral is "bacterial SSU rRNA". It matches the Rfam family "Bacterial small subunit ribosomal RNA", at positions 355 to 775 of the family's 1533-position model. The record is from RNAcentral.